Populus trichocarpa (black cottonwood) is the source of this 77-nucleotide non-coding RNA. The record is from Rfam. NCBI's taxonomy places the organism in Eukaryota, Viridiplantae, Streptophyta, Magnoliopsida, Malpighiales, Salicaceae.
GAGAUAUGAUGAGAUAAACUUUUGGUCCGUGUUUCUGAUUUAACCGUGACCGAUAAUUUUUACCAAUUUCUGAUCUC